GUGGGGAAUAUUGGACAAUGGGCGAAAGCCUGAUCCAGCCAUGCCGCGUGUGUGAAGAAGGUCUUCGGAUUGUAAAGCACUUUAAGUUGGGAGGAAGGGCAGUAAGUUAAUACCUUGCUGUUUUGACGUUACCGACAGAAUAAGCACCGGCUAACUUCGUGCCAGCAGCCGCGGUAAUACGAAGGGUGCAAGCGUUAAUCGGAAUUACUGGGCGUAAAGCGCGCGUAGGUGGUUUUGUAAGUUGGAGGUGAAAUCCCCGGGCUCAACCUGGGAACUACCUCCAAAACUGCAUGACUAGAGUACGGUAGAGGGUAGUGGAAUUUCCUGUGUAGCGGUGAAAUGCGUAGAUAUAGGAAGGAACACCAGUGGCGAAGGCGACUACCUGGACUGAUACUGACACUGAGGUGCGAAAGCGUGGGGAGCAAACAGGAUUAGAUACCCGGGUAGUCC
RNAcentral lists this ribosomal RNA (450 nucleotides) under uncultured bacterium. RNAcentral's name for it is "bacterial SSU rRNA". It matches the Rfam family "Bacterial small subunit ribosomal RNA", at positions 354 to 796 of the family's 1533-position model. The record is from RNAcentral.